RNAcentral lists this ribosomal RNA (1508 nucleotides) under Triticum aestivum (bread wheat). RNAcentral describes it as "partial small subunit ribosomal RNA". The record is from RNAcentral. Lineage: Eukaryota; Viridiplantae; Streptophyta; Magnoliopsida; Poales; Poaceae.
GAUUCAUCCUUCAGUCGAUCCAGUGGCCUCCUGCUCGCGGCUGGCCUAUCCCCACCUACCCAACCAGAGCUACACAUCCCCCGCUUCCAGCUUGGCACAGUAGAACCGAUUCGUCAAUCCGUCGAUCCAGCGGCAGCAGCACGGCUCCUCGCCCUCCUGCUCGCCUAUCCCCGAAGCGAAAUAGAGCUGCAUCCCCGCCUUCCUCUCCCCCUCAAAUCCUACUAGAUCCACAUAGCACAAGAGCUUGGAGAGAUCCCGAAUCCAAUCCAAUCCCCAACGGUUCGAUGGAGAUCAACUCCCUCCUUGGGAGUCAGACUCGACAUCUUCCGAGAUGUACGGACCAGAUGUUGAUAUCCAUUCUCAGAGAGCACCGUGCGUCGGAGCUCGACCUCUGGCAAGAAAUCGAUGCCAUGAGCGGUAAAAUACACGACCAGUACCUCUUGGUCAAGACUGCCACGGAAGCCCUGAAGACGGAUCACGGGACUUGGUGGCCGAAAAAAUUGGUCUCCAUCCCCAACACCUCCCAAGGUAAUUCCCCCAACUCCCCUAAAUUCGUGGGGACGAAGACGACGAUGGAGUUUAAACCCGCGGAUGGCAGCAAGCCGGUUGUUGGCAUGACACGGUACAACCUACUUACGACUAGGGAAGAUGGUGAUGGAUUGGAUUUGGAUGUAAGGAGCAUGUUUACCUUGGAAUUUAAUGUUUUUGUUUUGCAAUUAGACAUGUUUAACUUCUCCUUAUCUUCUUCUUUUUAACUGCAUGCAUAUAGGAGGAUCUGGCUUUACGUCAUGUCUUCCCGCUGGAAGGAAAAGGCAAGGGCACCCGAAACCGGAAUGGCAAAAGAUCACGAUCAGGAUGUGAAGUGGAUCCACACGAACCCAUUACCCAUGACGGCGUGGAAGAAUUGGACCAAAUGAUGUCCAAUUCCAAAAAGUAUCCAGUUCUAGACGCGGGCAUGGAUGUUCAGGAUCUGCUCUUCGCUGAUCAACCGUCAAAACAGUGGCAAAGCUUCACCAAGAUACACACCAAAAAUCCCAAACUUACGUACGCGGCGUGCAACCACUGCGACACGGUGUUGAAGUUAACAGGUGGUACCAAAUGUGGCACCGGCUCCCUCAGGCAUCAUAAUGACUCCUGCCGAUGCAAACCCAAGCAGGAGCAGCUGCCCGGCAGCUCUUCAUCGACGCCUAUUCCGUCCAUUGCAUUGCAGGCCAUCGCGGAACAAUUAUAGGUAGUGCAGUUCAGAUCAGAGGUAGUUUAGAUGAGGUAAGAUGUAGUGUAGUUGAGACUGAGCUGCCUCAAAGAGGAUUGAUUGCUCGUCUCGCGGUGUAAAUCCUUGUAUUCAUUUGUGUUUCAAUGAGGACAGUGAAUACGAAGUGGAGGUGUGGAUGUUUGCCAUUUAGGAUCGCUUUAUUCGUUGUUCUCCUUGUUCAAAAGUGACAACACUUGUGAAAACACAAUGGGUCCGGGUUUAUGUAUGUCGGAAAAAAAAUCAGGCAACAAUAUGC